Molecule: ribosomal RNA, 474 nt
Filed under: uncultured organism
Description: partial 16S ribosomal RNA
Rfam family: Bacterial small subunit ribosomal RNA
Source: RNAcentral
CACUCCUGCGGGAGGCAGCAGUGGGGAAUUUUGGACAAUGGGCGAAAGCCUGAUCCAGCAAUGCCGCGUGAGUGAAGAAGGCCUUCGGGUUGUAAAGCUCUUUUGUCAGGGAAGAAACGGUGAGAGCUAAUAUCUCUUGCUAAUGACGGUACCUGAAGAAUAAGCACCGGCUAACUACGUGCCAGCAGCCGCGGUAAUACGUAGGGUGCAAGCGUUAAUCGGAAUUACUGGGCGUAAAGCGUGCGCAGGCGGUUUUGUAAGUCUGAUGUGAAAUCCCCGGGCUCAACCUGGGAAUUGCAUUGGAGACUGCAAGGCUAGAAUCUGGCAGAGGGGGGUAGAAUUCCACGUGUAGCAGUGAAAUGCGUAGAUAUGUGGAGGAACACCGAUGGCGAAGGCAGCCCCCUGGGUCAAGAUUGACGCUCAUGCACGAAAGCGUGGGGAGCAAACAGGAUUAGAUACCCUUGUAGUCCCAUG